CUUGCUGGGUGGAUUAGUGGCGAACGGGUGAGUAACACGUGAGUAACCUGCCCUUAACUCUGGGAUAAGCCUGGGAAACUGGGUCUAAUACCGGAUAGGAGCGUCCACCGCACGGUGGGUGUUGGAAAGAUUUAUCGGUUUUGGAUGGACUCGCGGCCUAUCAGCUUGUUGGUGAGGUAAUGGCUCACCAAGGCGACGACGGGUAGCCGGCCUGAGAGGGUGACCGGCCACACUGGGACUGAGACACGGCCCAAACUCCUACGGGAGGCAGCAGUGGGGAAUAUUGCACAAUGGGCGAAAGCCUGAUGCAGCGACGCCGCGUGAGGGAUGACGGCCUUCGGGUUGUAAACCUCUUUCAGUAGGGAAGAAGCGAAAGUGACGGUACCUGCAGAAGAAGCACCGGCUAACUACGUGCCAGCAGCCGCGGUAAUACGUAGGGUGCGAGCGUUAUCCGGAAUUAUUGGGCGUAAAGAGCUCGUAGGCGGUUUGUCGCGUCUGUCGUGAAAGUCCGGGGCUUAACCCCGGAUCUGCGGUGGGUACGGGCAGACUAGAGUGCAGUAGGGGAGACUGGAAUUCCUGGUGUAGCGGUGGAAUGCGCAGAUAUCAUGAGGAACACCGAUGGCGAAGGCAGG
Molecule: ribosomal RNA, 632 nt
Filed under: Micrococcus sp.
Lineage: Bacteria; Bacillati; Actinomycetota; Actinomycetes; Micrococcales; Micrococcaceae
Description: bacterial SSU rRNA
Rfam family: Bacterial small subunit ribosomal RNA
Source: RNAcentral